GAUGAACGCUGGCGGCGUGCCUAAUACAUGCAAGUCGAGCGAACAGACAAGGAGCUUGCUCCUUUGACGUUAGCGGCGGACGGGUGAGUAACACGUGGAUAACCUACCUAUAAGACUGGGAUAACUUCGGGAAACCGGAGCUAAUACCGGAUAAUAUUUCGAACCGCAUGGUUCAAUAGUGAAAGAGGGUUUUGCUGUCACUUAUAGAUGAGGCCGCGUUAGCUAGUUGGUUAGGUAAGGGCCUACCAAGGCAACGAUCCGUAGCUGGUCUGAGAGGAUGAUCAGCCACACUGGAACUGAGACACGGUCCAGACUCCUACGGGAGGCAGCAGUAGGGAAUCUUCCGCAAUGGGCGAAAGCCUGACGGAGCAACGCCGCGUGAGUGAUGAAGGCCUUCGGAUCGUAAAGCUCUGUUAUUAGGGAAGAACAAAUGUGUAAGAAACUCUGCACGUCUUGACGGUACCUAAUGAGAAAGCAACGGCUAACUACGUG
RNAcentral lists this ribosomal RNA (492 nucleotides) under uncultured bacterium. Its description in RNAcentral is "partial 16S ribosomal RNA". It matches the Rfam family "Bacterial small subunit ribosomal RNA", at positions 28 to 507 of the family's 1533-position model. The record is from RNAcentral.